GGGCCGGUCGUCUAGCGGUCAGGACACCCGCCUGACGCGCAGGGUCGUGGGUUCGAAUCCCACCCGGCCCA
RNAcentral lists this transfer RNA (71 nucleotides) under Candidatus Geothermarchaeota archaeon ex4572_27. Its description in RNAcentral is "tRNA-Val". It matches the Rfam family "tRNA". Rfam says of the family: Transfer RNA (tRNA) molecules are approximately 80 nucleotides in length. The record is from RNAcentral. Lineage: Archaea; Thermoproteati; Candidatus Geothermarchaeota.